GACGAAGGGGCCAAGCGUUGUUCGGAAUUACUGGGCUUAAAGAGCACGUAGGCGGAAAAUUAAGUGUUUUGUGAAAGCCCUCGGCUCAACCGAGGAAUUGCAGGGCAUACUGGUUUUCUUGAGGCAAGUAGGGGUGCGUGGAACUCUAGGUGGAGCGGUGGAAUGCGUAGAUAUCUAGAGGAACGCCCGCGGAGAAAUCGGCGCACUGGGCUUGUACUGACGCUGAGGUGCGAAAGCGUGGGGAGCGAACGGGAUUAGAUACCCGAGUA
This 269-nucleotide ribosomal RNA is filed under the name uncultured prokaryote. Its description in RNAcentral is "partial 16S ribosomal RNA". It matches the Rfam family "Bacterial small subunit ribosomal RNA", at positions 524 to 792 of the family's 1533-position model. The record is from RNAcentral.